Aphis gossypii (cotton aphid) is the source of this 1349-nucleotide long non-coding RNA. RefSeq lists it as uncharacterized. NCBI's taxonomy places the organism in Eukaryota, Metazoa, Arthropoda, Insecta, Hemiptera, Aphididae. The transcript is spliced from 4 exons. The record is from RefSeq and is a predicted model, not a curated record.
UCCGCAGUAGUAACUCGUAAAAUGCGUUUGUGAGUACUCCUGUAAUACAUAGGUAUAGAUAUUGUUGUUAUUAUUAUUUUCUUGACUCUUCCUUAUUCACGGCGUAUCUCCUUUAUUCGUUGCUCAGCCGAUUGAAACGUAAAUGGCGAACGAUAUUCAGGUAUCGUUCUUUUUUAACGGUCGAGCAGAUAGCAAAUAAGAUAUCAUAACUACCUAUAAUAUACUUGUAUACACCGUACAUAUACGAUAUAUAGAUAUAUUACACUGCUAUACUAUUACGCGGUGAGAUCGACGACUUCUUAGCCGUUUUCCACCGGGUUCAAUGCCUAAAUAUUAUACGAUAUUAUUGUAUAAACGGUCUUAUCUAUCGCAUUUUCGACGUCGCUUUCGCUUAAAUUAUAACUGAUAUUUUAGUCAUGUCGAUUGUCCGACUAUACCGCCGCUGCAGUACAUCCAAAUAAUUUUUUAAAGAAAACGAUGCGGACAUAGAAAAAGAUAAUGAUUAUAUAUUUGUACGGUUGCAGGCCGCCAGUCGCAGAGACGAGACACGUAGCUUGACUUGCAUGUUCCAUAUGUAUAAUAUCCAUUAUUAUAUGCGUCCGACGAUCUAGGUCCGUGGUGCGAUUAGGUUUCGCGUGUGGGUCAGCACACGCCGGACAAUAAUGCGUCUGGAAAUGAAUGGUUCUGCAGUAUUGUUUGAAUAUGUUACAUCCUACAAUGGUGUAUUUUUUUUAUCUGUCCAGAAUAUUUAAAUAAUUGCAAUCACUAUUAGGUAUAUUCAUACUAUACACAACCGAGUACAAUGAUCAAUUAGAAUGACAUCGCGGGAUUCAUUGGAAAAAAAUUCAUCGAAAGCAGCCCGACGCAACGCAUUUGACUACUAUAAUUAUGCAGAAAUUAGGAAGGAGACUCGCUGUUGACCUCGUUACGAUAUUUUAUCGAAUAAUGUGAUAUUUUUAACGACAAAAAACCGAUGCAAGUAAUAAGAACAUAAGCUGGGUCCAUCUGCUUAGUUGAUGCAAUUUCGGUCACAUAAAUUUACUAAUUGAUCUUCAGUAAUAGCAGCCAGAAGUGAUACCAUACACUCAUAAUCGUACAGGAUUUCCGUGAGAGAAUGCGUUUAUGGCGUUUAUGUGGAUGAAAAUUAUAAGAUUUUCAUUUUACUUCACUGCCAAAACAAGAAUAUCUACGUAACAACUACAACUACUCACAACAAAAUAUUCGUUACAAGACGUUUGACCCGAACGGAUGGACAUCCUCAUUCGAGGACGAUUUGUACACUAUCAAUUAUUAUUUUUAUUACUCAUCUGUUAUCCUAUUGAUCGCGGUUUGUAGCCAUUACCUAUGAG